Long non-coding RNA from Physcomitrium patens, 1361 nucleotides. RefSeq lists it as uncharacterized. Lineage: Eukaryota; Viridiplantae; Streptophyta; Bryopsida; Funariales; Funariaceae. The record is from RefSeq and is a predicted model, not a curated record.
AGGUUAUUACAGGCAGAGAGGGUACUCUUUGCCAUAUCCUGAUUUGCCAUGGGACUGAUGUUGGAUAAGGGAAUCAUGUUAAUAGCUCCAUCAACUUGCAACUGCAAAACCCUCAAGAGUUACAUAAAAAUGUUAAAACAUUAAAUGAAACAAAAGGAAAAAAAAAACAUAUUUCUACAUGACAAAAUUGAAACAGAAAUAACUGCCAGAAGUGGGAUGGAGCUGACAAAAGGAGUAUGCUGAAUUGUAUCAUGCAGUACACAGAUACACUGUGAAGCUUAUCCAAAGAAGGAUUGAAAGUGGUUUUCUUCAACUCAUAACGCCAGUUGUAGUGCUGCCAUAUGACUGACCCAACUCCAAAUAUGAGGCAAGAAGCAGCAAUUAUGUAGCCCCAGAUUCCUGUGUAGGCAAGAGACUGUUUACUCCACAACAAAGCCCAUGAAACCAUUUUAUGAGAGUGAAGUUUCCAAAUUGAACAUAAAAGGAUUGCAACCCCCUCCAAUAGUAUUUUUUCACACCACUGGAUUUCCAAAUUCAGAAGAAAAUAUUGCAGAUUGGAAACAGGAACAUUGCAUGAGAGCAAGUUGAUUAUGGAGCUAUUCAAUGCAAUGAGAAUAUAAUCAUCCACCAGCAAGAGCACCUUAUGAAAAUAGAUUUAAAUGGGGCUUUAAAUUAACCUAAACUUUCACACAGCACAAAUACAAGACAUGCUGCUAACUAUAUUCAUCUUUUACUGGUCUCCUUUCAUACACAGAAAAAUUUCCUCUCAGUGAUCACAGAGGUUUGGGAGCAGGAAAUUUGAUGGUGACAUCAAGUCAGAGUUGCUUUGGGAUGUUGAAUGAUUGGUUGUGGAGAAGAGAAGUGGUGUAAAAUUCUUCUGAAAAUCUUAUUUGUGGACAAGCUACUUGGAAAUAAACUGAUCAUCACAGAGAAAGCAUCAUUUAGACCUUGUUGUUUUUGAAGGCACAAUGCAAAGGUCAAGGGAUCAUGAGCAGAGGAAGUUCAUGUGACUAUUCCUAGAAUUGUUGCAAGGUGACAACUGCAAUGUUGUCACAGAAAGAAGUCUUUGCCUUGAAAAACUUACACUCCAGUAGUGCAUGUUGGUGACAUCAAAGCCUCCUCUGUAUUUCUUCAAAUGAUUCAGAGGGUCCAAUCGUGGGAACAUGCCUCCACAAAUGUCUACUGAUAAGGUCAAUGGCUUCUCCAGCAAUACUGUUGCCUGAUGCAACACUAGCCUGCUCUGGAGCACAAUGGGUGGAAUAUCAGUAUAUUGUCCACUUAACUGAAGUCCUCUGAUAGAACAACUGCUACCUAAAUGUAUCCACACAGAUUGCACACAUCCAAGGCAUCAUUUAAUAGGG